This is a long non-coding RNA of Lutra lutra (Eurasian river otter), 401 nucleotides long. RefSeq lists it as uncharacterized. Lineage: Eukaryota; Metazoa; Chordata; Mammalia; Carnivora; Mustelidae. The record is from RefSeq and is a predicted model, not a curated record. The transcript has 4 exons.
CAUGUGAUCAAGCCCAAGAAAGCCUGUGAGAUGCUAAGAAAUGAUGAAGGGCUGUUGCUGUCUCUCCCUGUUGAGGCCGUCGCAAACUGCCAAGCAACUCACCACCAACAGAUGAGCUAGAUCCUUCGUUACCUCUGAAGAUGCUAAGAAUUUGACCUACAAGAUGGGCACAACUAGUAUACAGGCGUAAGGUUUUAUAAGCACCUUCAGAUUUACAUGUUCCAGCUUUGAGCCUACAUUCACAAUAACUGAGUUCCAGUUACCUCCAGUCAACUACACUCCAGAAGUAGAUGUAUCAUCAAAAGGUCACAAGCAGCCUAAUGCUACAUCACAGUGCCUACAUCAUUCCCCUCCCUUCUUGUCAUCACCCAGCCAUUUUAUCAUCUCACAUCAUUACCAGA